UGCUAUCAGUAUUGGCCUUCAACAUCAAGUGGAUUAAUAGUAGGGGAGUACAAUAUUGCACUAUUAAAUGAAGAAAUAAUAAGCAAUGGUUGUAUUGAACGAAAAUUUGAACUUAAACACACUAAUAAAACUAGUGAUAAACAACAAGUGAAACAGUAUCAGAUAACAAAUUGGGAUUCAACUGGAAAGAUGACUAACCCUCAGACUAUACUGUUGGUAAUAGAAGAAAUGUACAGAACACAAAGGAAAAGAGGAAACACAAGCAUUGUAGUACACUGCAGUGAUACAGUUGGUCGUUCAGCAAUGUUUUGUGCAGCUGCUACAA
Molecule: long non-coding RNA, 325 nt
Organism: Amphimedon queenslandica
Lineage: Eukaryota; Metazoa; Porifera; Demospongiae; Haplosclerida; Niphatidae
Exons: 3
Source: RefSeq, a predicted model, not a curated record